GUCUACGGCCAUACCUCCCUGAACACGCCAUAUCCCAUCUGAUCUUGGAAGCUAGGAAGCUAAGCAGGGUUGGGCCUGGUUAGUACUUGGAUGGGAGACCACCUAGAAAGAUUGAAUGCAUUAGGCA
This 127-nucleotide ribosomal RNA is filed under the name Pteropus alecto (black flying fox). The record is from RNAcentral. Lineage: Eukaryota; Metazoa; Chordata; Mammalia; Chiroptera; Pteropodidae.